CAAAUUUUCCUCUCCGUCCAAAUUGUUCCUCUCUUUUUCUCUCUGCUCCACCCUGUACCCGUAUAAAUUAAGCUAAUUUGAUCAGGUGUAUACUGCAAGCACUGGGGUCAUAUAACAAGCUCCCAACUGCUGCUCAUCAAUAAGCUUGAGUUAUGGGGGUCUCCAAUCAUGAUUCAACAGCCGUAAGGUUAGUUUUUGCUCUCUUUAAUUCCUGAUUGAAAGGAUAGUUUCUUUCUCAAACUCUCGGAACACUUUUUUUUCUAAAUUAUCUUAUUUUCAUUUAAGCUCAAUCACAUACAGUUGUCCCCAUCCAAUACACUGACGCCCAAAACGACAGCAACCACGCCAAAAUUCUACUAGAAACGACAGCCACACCCAUGACCACGCCCCAUACCCCCACGCCCACAACCACACAUCAUAUAUUUUCUACUA
Molecule: non-coding RNA, 432 nt
Organism: Prunus avium (sweet cherry)
Lineage: Eukaryota; Viridiplantae; Streptophyta; Magnoliopsida; Rosales; Rosaceae
Source: RefSeq, a predicted model, not a curated record